This 433-nucleotide ribosomal RNA is filed under the name uncultured bacterium. RNAcentral's name for it is "partial 16S ribosomal RNA". It matches the Rfam family "Bacterial small subunit ribosomal RNA", at positions 29 to 507 of the family's 1533-position model. The record is from RNAcentral.
AACGAACGCUGGCGGCAGGCCUAACACAUGCAAGUCGAGCGAGAUCUUCGGGUCUAGCGGCGGACGGGUGAGUAACGCGUGGGAAUAUGCCUCUUGGUACGGAAUAGCCUCGGGAAACUGGGAGUAAUACCGUAUGUGCCCUUUGGGGGAAAGAUUUAUCGCCAAGAGAUUAGCCCGCGUUGGAUUAGGUAGUUGGUGGGGUAAUGGCCUACCAAGCCGACGAUCCAUAGCUGGUUUGAGAGGAUGCUCAGCCACACUGGGACUGAGACACGGCCCAGACUCCUACGGGAGGCAGCAGUGGGGAAUCUUAGACAAUGGGGGCAACCAUGAACUAGCCAUGCCGGGUGAGUGAUGAAGGCCUUAGGGUUGUAAAGCUCUUUCAGCUGGGAAGAUAAUGACGGUACCAGCAGAAGAAGCCCCGGCUAACUCCGUG